CCCUUAGAUGUUCUGGGCCGCACGCGCGCUACACUGAACAGUUCAACAAGUCUUAACCUUGGCCGAUAGGUCUGGGUAAUCUUUGAACGCUGUUCGUGAUUGGGAUAGACCUUUGCAAUUAUGGGUCUUCAACGAGGAAUUCCUAGUAAACGCAAGUCAUCAGCUUGCAUUGAUUACGUCCCUGCCCUUUGUACACACCGCCCGUCGCACCUACCGAUUGAAUGGUCCGGUGAAAUCUCGGGACGGCGGCUUGGUCGCUUGCGUCCGACUGCUGAAACUUGAUUAAACCAUAUCAUUUAGAGGAAGGUGGAGUCGUAACA
RNAcentral lists this ribosomal RNA (320 nucleotides) under uncultured eukaryote. RNAcentral describes it as "partial 18S ribosomal RNA". It matches the Rfam family "Eukaryotic small subunit ribosomal RNA", at positions 1470 to 1796 of the family's 1831-position model. The record is from RNAcentral.